Molecule: ribosomal RNA, 500 nt
Filed under: uncultured bacterium
Lineage: Bacteria
Description: partial 16S ribosomal RNA
Rfam family: Bacterial small subunit ribosomal RNA
Source: RNAcentral
AUUGAACGCUGGCGGAAUGCUUUACACAUGCAAGUCGAACGGCAGCACGGACUUCGGUCUGGUGGCGAGUGGCGAACGGGUGAGUAAUGUAUCGGAACGUGCCCAGUCGUGGGGGAUAACGUAGUGAAAAUUACGCUAAUACCGCAUACGACCUAUGGAUGAAAGCGGGGGAUCGAAAGACCUCGCGCGAUUGGUGCGGCCGAUAUCAGAUUAGGUAGUUGGUGGGGUAAAGGCCCGCCAAGCCAACGAUCUUUAGCUGGUCUGAGAGGACGACCAGCCACACUGGAACUGAGACACGGUCCAGACUCCUACGGGAGGCAGCAGUGGGGAAUUUUGGACAAUGGGCGAAAGCCUGAUCCAGCCAUUCCGCGUGCAGGAUGAAGGCCCUCGGGUUGUAAACUGCUUUUGUACAGAACGAAAAGGUUUCUACUAAUACUAGGAGCUCAUGACGGUACUGUAAGAAUAAGCACCGGCUAACUACGUGCCAGCAGCCGCCGUAA